CAAUCCUACGGGACGCAGCAGUGGGGAAUAUUGCACAAGGGGGGAAACCCUGAUGCAGCAACGCCGCGUGAAGGAAGACGGUUUUCGGAUUGUAAACUUCUUUUCUUAGUGAAGAAGCAAGUGACGGUAGCUAAGGAAUAAGCAUCGGCUAACUACGUGCCAGCAGCCGCGGUAAUACGUAGGAUGCGAGCGUUAUCCGGAAUUACUGGGUGUAAAGGGAGCGCAGGCGGGACUGCAAGUUUGAUUUGAAAAACCGCAGCUUAACUGCGGAGCUGCAUCCAAAACUGGAGUUCUUGAGUGGUGUA
Molecule: ribosomal RNA, 305 nt
Filed under: uncultured bacterium
Lineage: Bacteria
Description: bacterial SSU rRNA
Rfam family: Bacterial small subunit ribosomal RNA
Source: RNAcentral